This 90-nucleotide microRNA precursor is filed under the name Branchiostoma floridae (Florida lancelet). RNAcentral's name for it is "mir-2060 microRNA precursor family". It matches the Rfam family "mir-2060 microRNA precursor family". The record is from Rfam by way of RNAcentral. Lineage: Eukaryota; Metazoa; Chordata; Leptocardii; Amphioxiformes; Branchiostomatidae.
GUGUGCUUGUGUGUGAAUGGUGUUCAGCACCAGGGACAGGUGCGUUUGUGUGUGUAUGGUGUUCAGUACCAGGGACAGGUUUGUGUGUGU